UGGGGAAUAUUGCACAAUGGGGGAAACCCUGAUGCAGCGACGCCGCGUGAGCGAAGAAGGUUUUCGAAUCGUAAAGCUCUGUCCUAUGAGAAGAUAAUGACGGUAUCAUAGGAGGAAGCCCCGGCUAAAUACGUGCCAGCAGCCGCGGUAAUACGUAUGGGGCGAGCGUUGUCCGGAAUUAUUGGGCGUAAAGGGUACGUAGGCGGUCUAUUAAGUCAGGUGUGAAAGCGUGAGGCUUAACCUCAUUAAGCACUUGAAACUGAUAGACUUGAGUGAAGGAGAGGAAAGUGGAAUUCCUAGUGUAGCGGUGAAAUGCGUAGAUAUUAGGAGGAAUACCGGUGGCGAAGGCGCCUUUCUGGACUUUUACUGACGCUCAGGUACGAAAGCGUGGGGAGCAAACAGG
This 403-nucleotide ribosomal RNA is filed under the name Verrucomicrobiota bacterium. RNAcentral describes it as "Verrucomicrobia bacterium partial 16S ribosomal RNA". It matches the Rfam family "Bacterial small subunit ribosomal RNA", at positions 355 to 776 of the family's 1533-position model. The record is from RNAcentral. Lineage: Bacteria; Pseudomonadati; Verrucomicrobiota.